This 542-nucleotide ribosomal RNA is filed under the name uncultured delta proteobacterium. RNAcentral describes it as "bacterial SSU rRNA". It matches the Rfam family "Bacterial small subunit ribosomal RNA", at positions 382 to 916 of the family's 1533-position model. The record is from RNAcentral. Lineage: Bacteria; Deltaproteobacteria.
CCUGACGCAGCAACGCCGCGUGUGUGACGAAGGCCUUCGGGUCGUAAAGCACUGUCAGUCGGGAAGAAGACAUGCGUAUAAAUUACGCGUGUGUUGACGGUACCGGCGAAGGAAGCACCGGCCAACUCCGUGCCAGCAGCCGCGGUAAGACGGAGGGUGCAAGCGUUAUUCGGAAUUACUGGGCAUAAAGGGCGCGCAGGCGGCCUGUUAAGUCAGUUGUGAAAGCCCGGGGCUCAACCCCGGAAGUGCGACUGAAACUGGCAGGCUUGAGUCCCGAAGAGGGAAGUGGAGUUCCUGGUGUAGCGGUGAAAUGCGUAGAUAUCAGGAGGAACACCAGUGGCGAAGGCGACUUCCUGGACCAAUACUGACGCUGAGGCGCGAAGGCGUGGGGAGCAAACAGGAUUAGAUACCCUGGUAGUCCACGCAGUAAACGGUGAUCACUAGGUGUUGCGGGCUUUGAUGCUUGCAGUGCCGAAGCAAACGCAUUAAGUGAUCCGCCUGGGGAGUACGGCCGCAAGGUUAAAACUCAAAGGAAUUGACGG